Molecule: non-coding RNA, 49 nt
Filed under: Schistosoma curassoni
Lineage: Eukaryota; Metazoa; Platyhelminthes; Trematoda; Strigeidida; Schistosomatidae
Source: RNAcentral
AUCCAGCUGACGAGUCCUAAAUAGGACGAAACGUGCAAUUAUACUGAAU